CCUACGGGAGGCAGCAGUGGGGAAUAUUGGGCAAUGGGCGAAAGCCUGACCCAGCGACGCCGCGUGAGGGACGAAGGCCUUCGGGUUGUAAACCUCUUUCAGCAGGGAAGAAGCGAAAGUGACGGUACCUGCAGAAGAAGCACCGGCUAACUACGUGCCAGCAGCCGCGGUAAUACGUAGGGUGCAAGCGUUGUCCGGAAUUAUUGGGCGUAAAGAGCUCGUAGGUGGUUUGCCACGUCGGAUGUGAAAACCUGAGGCUUAACCUCAGGCCUGCAUUCGAUACGGGCAGACUAGAGUGUGGUAGGGGAGACUGGAAUUCCUGGUGUAGCGGUGAAAUGCGCAGAUAUCAGGAGGAACACCGGUGGCGAAGGCGGGUCUCUGGGCCAUAACUGACACUGAGGAGCGAAAGCGUGGGGAGCAAACAGGAUUAGAUACCCUGGUAGUCCACGCCGUAAACGGUGGGCACUAGAUGUGGGGACCUUCCACGGUCUCUGCGUCGCNGCUACGCAUAGUGCCCGCCGUCGGGUAGGUACGGCCGGCCGACGACGUAAACCUACAACUAGAAGUAGACGGCGUGAGACGCGCCGACGGACGACGACGAGGGAGGAGG
This 610-nucleotide ribosomal RNA is filed under the name uncultured bacterium. Its description in RNAcentral is "bacterial SSU rRNA". The stretch from base 1 to 520 matches the Rfam family "Bacterial small subunit ribosomal RNA", at positions 338 to 873 of the family's 1533-position model. The record is from RNAcentral.